RNAcentral lists this ribosomal RNA (310 nucleotides) under uncultured eukaryote. RNAcentral describes it as "partial 18S ribosomal RNA". It matches the Rfam family "Eukaryotic small subunit ribosomal RNA", at positions 1470 to 1796 of the family's 1831-position model. The record is from RNAcentral.
CCCUUAGAUGUUCUGGGCCGCACGCGCGCUACAAUGGCGCUUUCAGCGAGUUCCUAUGUUGAAUUUUCCUGGGUAUUCUUGGAAGCGGCGUCUUGACUUGGGAUAGAUCCUUGUAAUUGUUGGUUUUGAACGAGGAAUUCCUUGUAAUCGCGGUUGAUCAGCUCGCGUUGAAUACGUCCCUGCCCUUUGUACACACCGCCCGUCGCUCCUACCGAUGAAUCGUCCGGUGAAGUUCACAGAGUGGCGGUUCGUGGAGUUGCUCGCGAAGUGAAAUGGACCUCACGAUUUAGAGGAAGGAGAAGUCGUAACA